This is a long non-coding RNA of Canis lupus familiaris (dog), 903 nucleotides long. RefSeq lists it as uncharacterized. Lineage: Eukaryota; Metazoa; Chordata; Mammalia; Carnivora; Canidae. The record is from RefSeq and is a predicted model, not a curated record. The transcript has 3 exons.
CUUAUUCUCUCCUCCCUUCCCUUUUUCUCUUCCUCCCUCUCUUUCUGUCUCCCUCCCCCUCCCCACUAGAGUACAUUCAGAGGAAAGACCGUGUGAGAACAAACUGCUGUCUGAAAGCCAGGAAGUGGGCUCUCACCAGAAACCAAACCCUGCUGGACCUUAACUUGCAGCUUCCAGCUUCCAGAACCGUGAGAAGUACAUCUUGCUUGUUUAAGUCACCAGUCUGCAAUAUUUUGUUAUGGAAGCCCAGGUGGACUGAUACGGUCCUCUCUCAUGUUUUUUAUUUCUCUGGUGUGAGCUGGGCACCCGUACACUGUGCCACACAAGCUUCUGGGCAUAAGUGAGCCAUCUCCUCUCCGCUCUGGGGCUGUUGUUCCAUCCAGCCCCCAAAGGGACAAUUAUCAGAGGAGAGAACCACGAUGCUGUGAGCGGAGUGCAGCAGAAACACCAGGUGGUGGCACCGCAUCAAGCUUUACAAAGAUUCUCACCAAAUCUCAGACUUUGCCUCUUGAAUCUGUCACUCUCCUGUUCCAAAGAUAAAAUGAAACGAAGAGAAAAACAGCUUUUAGAUCACCAUGGCAACCAUCUGGAAACACCUGUCUCUGUUGGCAAGGGGUGGCUGACAAGGGGGAGAAUUUGAAAAACUGCAAACAUCUUGUUUUCAUUGACUUAGAGCUAGCUGUCCAAAUAUUUGUAUCACUUGAGGUAAAAAAAAAAACAAAACUGAAUUUAGAUUGCACUUCUAUUAUUCAGUACAAACAUCUUCUGGUACAAUCUUGAACUUACCUGAAAAUAAUCUAAACAAUGUAAGUUGUAACCAGCAAAGGGGAAGUGUGUUAACUUAGUGAGCACAUGCGUUGGGCACUGGGAUCUGGUGAUACAUGGGAGGCAUGUGUUUUCUGC